Molecule: long non-coding RNA, 1908 nt
Organism: Pan troglodytes (chimpanzee)
Lineage: Eukaryota; Metazoa; Chordata; Mammalia; Primates; Hominidae
Exons: 2
Source: RefSeq, a predicted model, not a curated record
AUGCGUUUGUCCCAUUGUACAUGGUCCCUGUUGGCAUCAUUUCUUUCAUCUGUACUCAGACAUGUAAAAUGACUUCCAUUCAGCUAGCCUUGAUCAAUUUGUAGACAAACAAAAGAGAAAACGUAGUUAAUAAUCCAGAUAGAAAAAUGGCUUCAUGGCUGGUUUAAACUACUUCUUAGGAAGUUUAUCAUUCUCUAGCCUCUACGAGGAACUAAAUGGCAAAGAAAUCAAAUUGCAUUAGUUUGUCCAUUGUAUAUAUUGUUUAGUUUCACAGUUCAGAUUUUGUCACUUCUUAUUUACUCCAAAGUAGAAAAAACACCUGUACAAGUUUUAGGAUGGGAAUGAGAGGCAGUUAAGAAGCAAAACUGUUUAAAAGACAUAGGGCGUGUUCUACCCUCCUUGGAGAUUUAUUUUUGGACCACACACUUUGAGGAAUUCUGACCAGGCAGGGCAGGUCCAAAGAGAGGGCCCCGGUAAAUGAGGAGUUUGGAGACCAUGUGGGAGAAAGAACUGAGGAUGUGCAAGCUGAGGAUGAGAAUUAUGGAGGUAAGGAGGCCACAGUAGCUUUCUUCCAGGACUCUUAGAUUAGGGAUCAAAUUUGUCUGUGAGGACAAGUGAGGCCAAUAAAUGAAAGUUAUAGAGAAGAAGGGUCCAGCCCAUUUUGAGGAAGAUAUUUCAAAGCUGUCAGCCUGCCGUGGAAAGAACUGGAUGGCCUCAUGAGGCAGAGUCCUUGGUCACUGAAUGUGUUUCAUAUGUCAGCCAAAUGAUUACUUAAAACUCCUUCAAAUCUAACUGUGACUCUUAAACUACUAAAUGCUUCUCUGAACAAAGAACAAUUAAGCUCUUCAAAAACAGCACCAAGUAAAAUUUAGAACAAGUUUUAUCUUAGCUCUUCAGGACUGGGUAUGCCUUAUACUCUGGCAUACAAUAAAUUGGGGAUAGGGGGCAUACAUGAGAAAUGAAAUUAAAAGUUCAUCAGAUGAAAAUGUUUUCCAAAGCAGAGUUUAAGGAUAGUUUUACCUUAUUGUUUAUUUAAAACCAGAGGGCCAGAAAAAUGUCCAGCUUUAAGUUCAGAGGUUUAAAAGGUUCAGAGGUUUAAAAGGUUCAGAGGUUUAAAAGUUUACACUGCUACCAAAAAAUAAAAGCAAGUGGGCACUGUGGUCCCAUAUACUUGAUAGGCUAAGGCAGGAGAAGAUCCGUGGAGGCUGGGAAUAUGAGUCCAGCCGGACAACAUAGCCUGUCUCUUAAAAAAUAAAAAAGUAAAAGCAUGAUUAGAAUCCAUUUCUAACUGGCAUCUCCAUGCCUUUUAAAAAAGUCUUAAUACAAAUUUAGAAUAGGAUCAUAAAUAGGUAUAUUUACUCUUAUGAAUGAAACAAGGACCCUUAGGGAGGAGAUGGCAAAAAGUGUAAUUGUGAGUCCUUUUUUUAAAUGACCACUUUAACCAAUUAGAAGUUUUCAUAAAUCAAGGUUUUUAUUUUUGAUAAGUGCUACAUCAGUAUGUGAGAUAGCUUUGCUUAGUGAGCCUUGUGAUGGGGUAUGUAAAUGAAAAGCAUUUGUGAAACAGUAACUGGGGGGAUGAUAUAAUAAGAGUUUUAUUGGCUGGGUACGGUGGCUGUCGCCUGUAAUCCCAGCACUUUGGGAGGCCGAGGCGGGCGGAUCACGAGGUCAGGAGAUCAAGAUCAUCCUGGCUAACAUGGUGAAACCUCUUCUCUACUAAAAAUACAAAAAAUUAGCUGGGUGUGGUGGCGGGUGCCUGCAGUCCCAGCUACUCAGGAGUCUGAGGCAGGAGAAUGGUGUGAACCCGGGAGGCGGAGCUUGUAGUGAGCCCGAGAUUGCGCCACUGCACUCCAGCCUAGGGGACAGAGCGAGACUCCGUCUCAAAAAAAAAAAAAAAAAAAAAAAAGUUUU